GCUACCAUUUUGGCCUUCAAGAAGGUUCUUGAACGCUCUAUAAGCGAGCGCCGAAACCCUAAACAGAUCCAGCGAGCGAGCGAAGCAGACAAGGCCGGAGAAAAUGUCUCAUUUCGGAAGAACUGGCCCUCCUGACAUCACCGAUACUUACUCUCUCCUUGUCCUCAACAUCACUUUCCGUACCACGGCUGAUGAUCUCUUUCCUCUCUUUGAUAAGUACGGCAAGGUUGUCGAUAUCUUCAUUCCCCGUGACAGAAGGACUGGUGAGUCGCGUGGGUUUGCGUUUGUUCGUUACAAGUAUGCAGAAGAAGCACAGAAAGCUGUAGACAGGCUGGAUGGAAGAGUGGUUGAUGGGCGGGAAAUGGCUGUUCAAUUUGCCAAAUAUGGGCCAAAUGCUGAACGAAUUCAUCAAGGAAGGAUCAUUGAGAAAGUUCCAGCAAUCAAAGGAAGCUCAAAAAGCCGAAGCCCUCGUAGAAGAUACCGCGAUGACUAUCACAGAGACAAAGAAUACAAGAGAAGUAGGAGCAGAAGCGUUGAUCGCUAUGAGCGCGAUAGGUAUAGGCGGAGGGAGCGGGACUAUCGGUAUCGGAGUAGGAGCCGCAGCUUAAGUCCAGACUAUGAUCGAGAUCGUGGCAGGGGACGUGACAGAAAACACCGUAGACGGAGCCCAUCAUUUGAUAGUGCCUCCCCAGCUCGGCGCAGCCCAAGUCCUCUCAGGAAAGAGUCUCCUCGUAGAAGCUUAUCACCCAAAAAGGGAAGUCCUGAGAGGCGCAUUCGCAGUGAACGCUCUCCAACUCCGCGUAGCCGUUCUCCUCCAGGUCGGGCAAUGGAUUCCCGAAGCCCUUCUCCUCGUGCUGAUGAGGAGUAACUUUCUGGUGGCAAUGUGAGAACGGGCAGAUGAAGUGCAUCAACUUUAGCUGUCUUCUGAAUGUGCUGUUAAAAAUGCAAACUGUGAUGCAAUUUCUAGGCAGAAGUAUUAGCUGACAUUUUGUUAUGAUCGAGAGAAGGUUGGUGAGGUUGAUGUCAGAUGAUGAUGAUGAUGAUGUGGCUGUCAACCCUCAUAGUAGCUUAUAGUUAGUUCGUGAAAUUUGACGAGGCUGAUUGGUUGAUUAUGUGUUGAUUGUUGCUGAUGGUUAGCUGUUGAUAUGCAGCUUCCGAUGCUGUUUGUAGUUAAUGUAUUUGCAAUGCAUAAUAGCAGAUGCUGGCUGGAGAUUUUCUAUGUGCACCUGUAUAUAAUAUAUUGGUUUGGUGCUUAUAAAAUCGUCUUUGAACCGGGAUGGGAUGCAACUGGGUAUGUAGGAUGGACACAGUACGGAUCUACCUCUGUGCCCGAUGCUGCUAGUGAGGUUUCUUAUUGUUGAAGCUGAUGCUAGUUGUUUGACGUGCUGGCCCCUGAAUAGGGUCAAUAUCUCAUGUGGUCUAUUUGCCCCCCCAACACGCAUAGCAGUCGAGAAAUAUCAUACCUUUAACCAGCCAGAUGAUCAUGUCUUCUUGUGAAUUAUGAUUUUCUUACUCGUGGAUCGUGAUUGUAGCUGAAUGAAAUGCUGAUUAAUUGUACGUUGCAAAUCCUUUUAGCUUUGGGGUGCGGCUGAUGUUCCAGAGCCUCUCUCUUGAUCUGAUAUUAUGCUCUAUGUAGCUGAUGGUCACCUUGGUGAAUUAGCUUCAGCACGUUUUUUUGGGGGUUUGUGUUGUUUUAUGUUGUUUGUCCCCAUGGCUCGAUUGGGUCUUAGGUUAUAGUUUAUUUUUAAGCCUUGAAAACCAAUGACUAUUUUUUGGUUCGACUUCCUUGACUUUAUCCCCUUUGGUUAAUUAAUAGGCUGUGUGUAGGUGUCCCUGGGUGGUAGUUAUAUUGACAAGGCUAGUAUUUCUGUGCCGUGUCCAAUCUUUAUUGUAUAGCAGAAGCCAUAGGUGUCGUGCAUUUUUACUGUGUGAUGUUGAGCAUAGCUAUAGUGUGUGGGUGUUGCUUUACGGUAAAAGCACUGUUGCUUUUUAACAUUGUGGUUGUGCUGCUGUAAGGUAUGGGGGUCGAGCGGAUUUUGUCAAUUUGACCAUGUGUUCAGGUUGCACUUACAUUGCCAUGCUUCUGAUCUUUCCUGCAGUUGUAUGUUAAGUUGCCAUAUUCUGUUCUCUGUUUAAAUUGUGUCUUACCUUUUUAGUCCUGUUUCAAUAGUUUGGAAAGGCAACCAUUUUUGUUAUAUUUUGGAGUAAUAUUUCUCAAUUUUUAAUUACAUCUAUCAAUCGAACAGUGAUGACACGGUUUA
Capsicum annuum is the source of this 2261-nucleotide RNA transcript. It is a transcript of the gene named serine/arginine-rich splicing factor SC35, with no coding region annotated. The transcript has 10 exons. The record is from RefSeq and is a predicted model, not a curated record. Lineage: Eukaryota; Viridiplantae; Streptophyta; Magnoliopsida; Solanales; Solanaceae.